AGAAUCAACGCUGGCGGCGUGCCUAACACAUGCAAGUCGAACGAGAAAGUGGAGCAAUCCAUUAGUAAAGUGGCGCACGGGUGAGUAACACGUGACUAACCUACCCUUGAGUGGGGGAUAACCUAGGGAAACCUGGGCUAAUACCGCAUAAUACCUUCGGGUCAAAGGAGCAAUUCGCUUAAGGAGGGGUCGCGGCCGAUUAGUUAGUUGGCGGGUAAUGGCCCACCAAGACGAUGAUCGGUAUCCGG
This 248-nucleotide ribosomal RNA is filed under the name uncultured bacterium. RNAcentral describes it as "partial small subunit ribosomal RNA". It matches the Rfam family "Bacterial small subunit ribosomal RNA", at positions 26 to 290 of the family's 1533-position model. The record is from RNAcentral.